AGCCUGAACUUUCUCAUCUAACACCUGUUCAAGUCGGAGGAUGCUGAUUAAUUCAUGAUGGAAAGGUAUCAAUUUCACAGCCCAGACUUCUACAUUCUUGAAAUGCUGUUCUCAUGGGAGACAUUAAAUAAGCUUUGAAAUAACUUAAGCCCUUAAGUAAAGGUGCCAUCAAAUGAUUUCUCAGAAAUUAUAAAGAAACAAAAGGACCAUAAACAAGAUAAGGUGGCACGAGGAAACACUAAAAGUACCUUUCAGAGCUGACUGGCAAAGAAACUCCUGAGGUGAUGGGGACUUAUCUUCCUCAGUUCCCUGUGGGGAACUUUUGUAGAGCCACACGAAAGGAGGUUUUUAGCUCUCACCUAUGGUCUUCAUCAUGCACCUCCUAGAUUCAAAAGUUCAGCAGGGGCAUGUCAAGCUAUAUAAAUAAAAACAAACUAAGACAAAAAUGUAACAUUCCAUACCUUAAAAUGCAACCUUAAUAACGUGAAAGACCCUGAAGGACUUGAGAUGUGAAGAUUUUCUACCACGGUCUUUGCAUGUAUUAUUUCUGACAGCUGUUCCUUUCUAUUCCCUCUUGCACACAUCUUUAGUUACUCCCUGUUCUCCAUCCCUCUGAUAAAAUCUAGUUCCCCCCUCAAAUUAGAAAAUUAAAAAAAAUAAAAAAUCUAAAAUUAAAA
Molecule: non-coding RNA, 677 nt
Filed under: Pongo abelii (Sumatran orangutan)
Lineage: Eukaryota; Metazoa; Chordata; Mammalia; Primates; Hominidae
Source: RNAcentral